RNAcentral lists this ribosomal RNA (497 nucleotides) under uncultured bacterium. RNAcentral describes it as "partial 16S ribosomal RNA". It matches the Rfam family "Bacterial small subunit ribosomal RNA", at positions 28 to 507 of the family's 1533-position model. The record is from RNAcentral.
GAUGAACGCUGGCGGCGUGCCUAAUACAUGCAAGUCGAGCGAACGGACGAGAAGCUUGCUUCUCUGAUGUUAGCGGCGGACGGGUGAGUAACACGUGGAUAACCUACCUGUAAGACUGGGAUAACUUCGGGAAACCGGAGCUAAUACCGGAUGAUAUUUUGAACCGCAUGGUUCAAAAGUGAAAGACGGUCUUACUGUCACUUAUAGAUGGAUCCGCGCUGCAUUAGCUAGUUGGUAAGGUAACGGCUUACCAAGGCAACGAUGCAUAGCCGACCUGAGAGGGUGAUCGGCCACACUGGAACUGAGACACGGUCCAGACUCCUACGGGAGGCAGCAGUAGGGAAUCUUCCGCAAUGGGCGAAAGCCUGACGGAGCAACGCCGCGUGAGUGAUGAAGGUCUUCGGAUCGUAAAACUCUGUUAUUAGGGAAGAACAUAUGUGUAAGUAACUGUGCACAUCUUGACGGUACCUAAUCAGAAAGCCACGGCUAACUACGUG